AUGACUGUGACUGUAGAUUGCAGUCAGCUUCCUCAGGGUGCAGACACACUGAAUGCACUGCAAAGUGAAUUCCCAGAUCUACGGAUGGAGCGUGACUUUCUACGGCCCACAUGCACCUUGCAAGGCAGCUAUUCUGAUUUUCAAACUGCAUUUCCUUAUAUGCAGACAUUAUUUGCUCAUCACAUUUCACAAGCCAAAAAUCAGAAUUUUAUUGGGGACAACGGUCAUGGUCAUAAGGUAAGGGAAGACCCUGCAGGUGCAAAGAAGUGGGACGGCUUUACAUCCCAAUCACCGGCCAUUCAUGCAGGAGACUUCAGCUUUAGGCCCAGAGAGGAUUUAGGUCAAGAAAACUAUAGAUUGCAAGAUAACAAUGAAGCUCUCACUGGACGCAGUACUCAGUCAAGAAGAGGUAAAAUCGAGGAGGGAGCAGAGUGCAGGACAGAUGAAGAUGAUUUGGAAGAUCUUUCGAUAAUCAUGGAUGCUGAUGUGUUUGCAUACCUGCAAAACAUCAAAGAGUACAAUCGGAUACUGCAACAUCAUGGAGUACAAGUGGUUCAUGUUACUUCCGAGGGGGUCACCACUGUGUACCUGCAGUCAAGCAAGUCAGAGGUUAAACAGAACAUUAAGCAAGCCCAUAAGGAGCUAAGGCAGCUUUAUCAACAGCAAGAGGCUUUUCUAAGAAAAGACCAGGUAAAAAGGAGUGCCCUUUACAUGGCCGAUGGAUUGAACACAACAUUAAAACAGGUGCAGUUAUUACUGCCCAAUGUUCUCCUCAGCUUUGACCAGGACAACAUUUAUAUAGUUGGAGAGAAAAGUGAGGUAUCUCAGGCCAAACAAAUGCUAUUGAUUGGGGUGGAAAAAGACCUGAUGAGUUUGACAGAAAUUCCACCAUCCUCUUCUAGUUUUCCAUCAGCAUCCCCUGAACCCUUGGAGAGAGAGCAACAGGUUAUGGGUGCCCCUCAAACAUUAGUUCCCCCCAAACUAAUUGGUUCCAGCACUGAACGAAAAGGGGAGAUUGGAAAUACAAAAGAAUACAAACUAGCUGCUCGGUUUAAGAGAGAGGAGAUAGGUGGAGACAUCAGGAGUCUCACUACAAAGAUGGACAUGUUAAAGUUAGCCCAAAGCUCUCAGUCAACAACACCACCCACACGGCCCUUGUUUGGCACCACAGGCGAACUCAGUAUCGAACUGCCCAGGGAAGGAACUGAAGCAUUCAGGAUGACAGAGCCAAGCUGUACAGGGCAGGAUAUCCUGUUUAAAAACCAAGACCCGCUAUCUCUGAAUACAUUUGGUGGAACCACCUUCAGCACAUCCAAGGCCAAACCAAGUACUUCCGCUGGACUCACUUCAACACUGGGAACAGGAGUCAUGGCUUCAGUGAGCACAAAUGUGAAUUCCCUAUCAGCAAGUAAUACAAAAGUGAAGACAGCUGCUCCCUCAUCAACAUCUAAAUCUUCAUUAAGGAGGUCCAAUAGUUUCUCUGGUCAGCCAAGAGAGCAGGUAAAAAAUAACCAGGUUAAAGCUGAGCCAACGAUCAAUGCAAAUUCACAUAAAAGAGCAAGAUCCAAUAGCAUUAGUGGUGGAAGACCUAGUAAAGAUUGUCCAGUGACUGUAGUUGAAGCAGAACUUACUGUGUCUGGUCUAAUGUGGACUUACAUAAAGGAUGCAUAUCGUUCUCAGGUGCAGGCUAUGGAAUGUGACUUGCAAAUGUCUGAGAAACGACCAGGCAAAAGUCAUAUAAGUGUUACUCUAAAGGGAACAGAUUCAGCAAAAGUUGAAGAAAGUCAUCGUGAGCUUCAGAAUCUAGUGGCUAUAGUGGCCAGCGACUUUGGCUUCUAUGAAUUAUGUUUGAAUGAGCUUGGUGUGGAUCAGAAAGAUGAACUCUUUUUGGCCUGCUGCUCAAGUUUAAGGACACAUAUAUCUAAGGUUAGCUCGUACACCACAAAGAGACACCUUGUCUUGAUUGGUCCAAAAUUCCUCUGCUCUCAAGUCAGUGAUAUAUUUAAGGAUGUAUUUUCUGGGCAGAAGUCACAUUCCUCAUUCCUUCUGAAGUUGAAGACCUUGCAAGAGUGUGUAGAACAAGGUGCAUCCAAGGCAUUUUUGAGCAUACGAUCAACAAGGGCCGAUCACUCUAAAUCAGAUCAAAGCUUAAAGGAGUUUUCUUUUCAGGACACAAGUCAGGUGGUUCAGUCUAACGGCAGUCUCAAGAGUGAUGGUCAUUUGACCAAAAAGAAAUCAGACACAUUGGAAAAGUUGGAGCACUCUAUAUCCACGGAGGACAAAUUAAGCAAGGCAAACACAUUAAGCCAACUAGCUAAUGCCAAAGAAGACACACAAAGUGAUAAGCCAAGUUCUUUACCACUUGAAGCAAAGAAAAAACAAGAUACCUCAAAGAUUCUGAAACAGACUAACUUGCUGUCCAGUAUCACUUCAGAGCAAUGCGUGUGUGGAGCGAUUGGUGCAAAUGUGAAGCGCACCUCCUGUGGUGUCAUCCUUUGCUCUGACUGCAAACUGCUGCAUUCACACUGUCGAGUGUGUGGAAAAGAGGAGGUAUACGCUCAGAAGAUGAUACAGGGGCAAAGUAUUGAGUCAAAGAACACAGAGCAAGAUAAUCAGGCUCAAGAGCAGUAUUCAGGACAAGAGGACAUCAAGGAACAUAAGGGCAUCCAAGGCACGAUGACCUGUGUGGAGAUGCCUCUGAGUCUUUCAGGCUAUAAUAAAUACACAAUGGCCAAGAUCAAGUACAGCAUACCUGAUGGCAUACAAGGGGAUAAGGAUCCCCAUCCUGGUUCACCAUUCGAAGGUGGUCAGUUUGUGGCUUAUUUGCCACUCGAUCCAAAAGGAAGAAGUUUAUUGCCCUCCCUGAAAAAGGCAUUUGAUCAAGGGCUAACAUUUGUUAUUUCAACCAAGAAGGCCAAUGGUGGAGAUGCAAAAGUGAGCUGGGGCAAGAUCCCACACAAGACCAGCAUGGAGGGGGGCAGGGGCAGGAAUGGAUAUCCAGACUCUACAUACCUUGUUCUCUUGUCUGAGGCACUGGUGGCUCAUGGAAUUGAAGGAGUCCCCGGCAGUUAGUCAGGAUGAAGCCAAAAUCUGACCUUGCAAAAAGCACAAAAUCAUUAAGACCAAAAGACUACAGUUUAUUGUGUAUUAUUUUUUGAUACAGUUCCAAACUACACAUAUCAAAAUGUAAUCCAUGUAAAUGAAGUUUUAAAUAUACUGACUGAUUACUUAACCUUUGGGUUGCACCUUUUUUGCUAACUAUUUUUUUUAUUCAGUAUUUCUGCUUAACUGUUUUUGUACGGUAUGUAAUCAAUUUAGAAUGUAAAUUAAAUUGUUUUAGGAUCAUUUUUUUAUUUUAGAAUCAGUGUUUUUUUUCUAUAAUCUUUAUUGACAUAUAGAAUGCAACAACAUAACACUCUGUAUAUUCUGAAUCAGCGUACAAGUAUGCUUUUUAAUAAAACAAUAACCUUGCUGUGGGGGUUGUUUUUUGUGCCAUUUUUAAAUUAAAGGUCCCAUGAAAUUAAAAUAGCGUUUCUUUUAGAUGUUAGUAUCAGUGUUGUUAGAUUUUAGGAUAUCUAUAAGGUAGUGUGCUCCAAAACAGUGACAAAAUUUGUGUUUAAAAGAUAUAAAACAGAUAUAACUAUGUUAAGCUUGUAGUUUGUCACUUCCACAUCACCGGUUUUAUUCAUGUCCCCUCAUACUUCAGUUUCUCAUCAAAUCAUAACCAAUCAAAUGCUCUCUAGUAUGACAUGCCCCGGCCCCUUCAAGACACUUCUCAUUUAAUGCAUUUGAGCUCAACAACUCUCACUGGCGAGCGAAAUUGGGAUUAAUUGUUGAAAAAAAUACCACACUACUGGUUGUUUUAUUUUAUUUUUUAAAGGGCUACACUGUCCCACCCUCUCUUCAUGUUUCAGUUGAGAUUAUGUCAAACAUUGAAUAAAAAUACACAUUUCAAAGCACUUCAUGGGACCUUUAAACAUUCUUAGGCCUAGCACAUCUCUAAUCUGCACCUCAACUGAUAUCCCCAUGAAAAGAGGACACAUAUAGCAUAAAUCUAUUUAAAGGGGUGUGUUUAAUGGGUUAGCUUGGCCAAAAGGAAAACGUUAUUAAUUACCCUCAUGUCAAUCCAAAACCCUUGGGACCUUCAUUCAUUUUUUUAACACAAAUUAGGAUGUUUUAGGUGAAAUCUGAGAGCUCCCUCAUCCUCCAUAGACAACAAUGUUCGAAAGUCCAGAAAAAUACCCAAACAUCCUCAAAUCAGACCAUAUGUGAUCAGUGGUUUAAUCAGAAUAUUGUCAAGCCCGUUUUUGUGAGCACAUAAAAUAUAAAUAAACACUUUAUUCAAAAGUUUUUUUUUACUCCUCAGAGUCAGUAUAGGGCGCACAUUUCAUGAAAACGACCAGGCGCAACAGGUUAACCCAUUCGAUAAGUUGUUUAUGCAUGUGGUUUGAUGUAUUCAUUUUCUUUUUCUCAUUUUUUGUUAGGUUUUUCUUUGUUGUUUUAGGGGGGGGUUAUGUUUUCUCUUUUAUGCAUGUAAAAGAACAGUAAGAAGCUGCUAGUUCACUUAAGUGCACAAAACAUGUAGAAAUAAAUCAUAUUUUUUCAUGAUUUAUGUAUUGCAUUUUAUUUGCUUUGAGUGACUUAUGACAUUAUUCUGCUAUGUUGUUGUAAUGUAUUUGUGCACGGGUGACCCCUCAGUCACUUUCAUUAAUGAUGCAGUCCCGUUAAUAUAAGACUGGGUUUUUGUGGUUUAGUUUGGGAGUUCUUUUUACUAUUAUUUUGGGUUAGGGACAUCUUUAACAUUUGAGCACAGAAAACAGGACUGAGGUUUAAAUGAUUUGGUUUGGCUAAGUAUAUUUUUCCCCUCUUUGUAAAAAAAUAAAAUAAUUUAUUUAAUUGCAAGUUAUGUUAACUGUUUGCUUGUGAAAUGCUCAGUUUUUUCACUUACACUUACUUUACGUCAUGUAAAUAGCAAAUGCGCUUAAAGCGUGACACAACUGGCUCUUAAAGUGAAUGGAAGAUGAGACUCAGAUUGGUUUAUUCUCAAAACACACCUAUAACUCACCGCUUAAACUUAACCCUUUUAGACCAUGCGCCACAGCGCAAAGCGGAUUUUUCAGUCCUUAAAUUAGCAAUAGUGGAUUCUGACACGCCCUGAAAGUUUUAGCGCCCUGCGUUUUGCACUGAGCAUGGACCGUUAAAAUAGAGCCCAAUAAGUCAUUGGACCCAGACUAAAAGGAGAAAGUGUUUCCCCAAAAGCAAAAAUUAUGCUGUAGUCCAUCUGCUGUAUUUUUCUUUAGUUUUUCGAUUAUAGCUAGAUUAUGUAAAGAACAAUAAUAGAUCAUGUAAAGAUUACUCAUGUAAAGAUUGAUUAUGUAAAGAUCGAUUAUACAUCAAUUAUGAAAAGAUUAAUUAUGGAUAGAUUAUGU
Long non-coding RNA from Danio rerio (zebrafish), 5429 nucleotides. NCBI's taxonomy places the organism in Eukaryota, Metazoa, Chordata, Actinopteri, Cypriniformes, Danionidae. The record is from Ensembl.